CCCAGACUCCUACGGGAGGCAGCAGUCGGGAAUAUUGCGCAAUGGAGGAAACUCUGACGCAGUGACGCCGCGUGCAGGAAGAAGGUUUUCGGAUUGUAAACUGCUUUAGACAGGGAAGAUAAUGACAGUACCUGUAGAAUGAGCUCCGGCUAACUACGUGCCAGCAGCCGCGGUAAUACGUAGGGGGCAAGCGUUAUCCGGAUUCACUGGGUGUAAAGGGAGCGUAGACGGCGACGCAAGUCUGGAGUGAAAGCCCGGGGCCCAACCCCGGGACUGCUCUGGAAACUGCGGCGCUGGAGUACGGGAGGGGCAGGCGGAAUUCCUGGUGUAGCGGUGAAAUGCGUAGAUAUCAGGAGGAACACCGGCGGCGAAAGCGCUUUACUGGACCAUUAUUGACGCUGAGGAACGAAAGCCAGGGGAGCAAAUGGGAUUAGAUACCCCGGUA
This 445-nucleotide ribosomal RNA is filed under the name uncultured bacterium. RNAcentral's name for it is "partial 16S ribosomal RNA". It matches the Rfam family "Bacterial small subunit ribosomal RNA", at positions 330 to 792 of the family's 1533-position model. The record is from RNAcentral.